GAUGAACGCUGGCGGCGUGCUUAACACAUGCAAGUCGAACGGGAAACCUUUUAUUGAAGCUUCGGCAGAUUUAGCUGGUUUCUAGUGGCGGACGGGUGAGUAACGCGUGGGUAACCUGCCUUAUACAGGGGGAUAACAACCAGAAAUGGUUGCUAAUACCGCAUAAGCGCACAGGACCGCAUGGUCCGGUGUGAAAAACUCCGGUGGUAUAAGAUGGACCCGCGUUGGAUUAGCUAGUUGGCAGGGUAACGGCCUACCAAGGCGACGAUCCAUAGCCGGCAUGAGAGGGUGAACGGCCACAUUGGGACUGAGACACGGCCCAGACUCCUACGGGAGGCAGCAGUGGGGAAUAUUGCACAAUGGGGGAAACCCUGAUGCAGCGACGCCGCGUGAAGGAAGAAGUAUCUCGGUAUGUAAACUUCUAUCAGCAGGGAAGAUAGUGACGGUACCUGACGAAGAAGCCCCGGCUAACUACGUG
This 478-nucleotide ribosomal RNA is filed under the name uncultured bacterium. RNAcentral's name for it is "partial 16S ribosomal RNA". It matches the Rfam family "Bacterial small subunit ribosomal RNA", at positions 28 to 507 of the family's 1533-position model. The record is from RNAcentral.